AUUGAACGCUGGCGGCAUGCUUUACACAUGCAAGUCGAACGGCAGCGCGGGCUUCGGCCUGGCGGCGAGUGGCGAACGGGUGAGUAAUACAUCGGAACGUGCCCAGUAGUUGUGGAUAGCUCGGCGAAAGCCGGAUUAAUACCGCAUACGACCUGAGGGCGAAAGCGGGAGAUCUUCGGACCUUCCGCUAUUGGAGCGGCCGAUGGCCGAUUAGCUAGUUGGUGGGGUAAAGGCCUACCAAGGCGACGAUCUGUAGCUGGUCUGAGAGGACGACCAGCCACACUGGAACUGAGACACGGCCCAGACUCCUACGGGAGGCAGCAGUGGGGAAUUUUGGACAAUGGGCGAAAGCCUGAUCCAGCAAUGCCGCGUGUGUGAUGAAGGCCUUCGGGUUGUAAAGCACUUUUGGCGGGAACGAAAAGGACUGUGCCAAUACCACGGUUCGAUGACGGUACCCGAAGAAUAAGCACCGGCUAACUACGUG
This 484-nucleotide ribosomal RNA is filed under the name uncultured bacterium. Its description in RNAcentral is "partial 16S ribosomal RNA". It matches the Rfam family "Bacterial small subunit ribosomal RNA", at positions 30 to 507 of the family's 1533-position model. The record is from RNAcentral.